RNAcentral lists this long non-coding RNA (875 nucleotides) under Marmota monax (woodchuck). Lineage: Eukaryota; Metazoa; Chordata; Mammalia; Rodentia; Sciuridae. The record is from RNAcentral.
GGGUCAGUACUUUCCAUGAGGCUCCUUCCUGGACCCCAGAUUGAGCAUAACUUCCUAUCACAUGCCGCCUGCAGUUUGUCCUCCUGAGGACGGCGGAACACACCCUGACCUCCACCUACUUCUCCCACUUCACCUUCUGCCAUCUUCCUUGCAAGUCCCCUGUGGGGCUCCAGGCACACUUGACUCACCAGUUCCUGAAUGUGGCACGUUCUUUCACAUGCUGUCAUUCCCUUCCCUGCAAAGCCUGGCCUUCUUUCUCCAUCUUUCUAUGCUCAUCUUCAGCAAUUAGCAAACUGUCAUGUCUUCCAUGGGAGCUUCUCUGGUUCCAUUUCCAGUCACAUUCCAAACAUGAAUGAUGUAUUUCUGGAGGUAGAUCCAAGUGUAUCCAAGAUCCAAGUGUAUUUCUGGUGUAGAUCCACCACAUAGUGCUGAGGACGUUAGGCUGCUUAAUCUAUGCUUCCCUUUCCUCAGUCAUAUAAUGGAGAUAAGAAUACUAGCACCUAUAAAAUUAUGGUGAUAAAACGACUAGAAAGUUUUCUGUAAACACAUAGUAACUCAACAAGUUUUUUUAUUUUUUUUGUACCAGGGAUUGCACCCAGGGGUCUUUAAUCAUCAAGCCACAUCUCUAGCCCAUUUUAUUUUAUAUUUUGAGACAGAGUCUUGCUAAAUUGCUUAGGGCUUGCUAAGUUGUUGAGACUGGCUUUGAAUUUGCAAUCCUCCUGCCUCCAUCUCCCAAGCUACUGGGAUUAUAGGCAUGCAACUACCAUGUCCAGCCUCAGUGUUUUUAAAAAUUUGAAUAUCACAGCUGGGUACAAUGGCGCAUGCCUGUAAUCCCAGCAGUGCGGGAGACUGAGGCAGGAGGAUCUCAAGUUCAA